Long non-coding RNA from Mastomys coucha (southern multimammate mouse), 637 nucleotides. RefSeq lists it as uncharacterized. The record is from RefSeq and is a predicted model, not a curated record. NCBI's taxonomy places the organism in Eukaryota, Metazoa, Chordata, Mammalia, Rodentia, Muridae. The transcript is spliced from 3 exons.
UGCCGAGCUGUUUCCGCCGGGGAGAAGUACUCGCGGGCUUCGUACAGAGGGGGACGUAGUCUGUGGAGCGCGGCCCGCAGGCGAUCGUGGGAUUUAGAACCCUCUCCCGGGGCUCCCACGGGAGGAGGCUGACCGCGGGCCCGCACGCGGCCGCGGGAUGAGCGGGGGUUGCAGGAGGGCGCAGUGUCCCGGCCUCGCCACCGGCCGUGCACAGGGGUCUGUGUGCGGCCACCGCACGAGGUCACCCGCUUCAACUGAAUCGUAUUACUCUCUCUUUUUUUUUUCCACCCAGAAAGCGAAAUACACAGCCCCCAGCGACUUUCUCCCGAGGAGAGCUCCGAGUGGCUUCAGCGCGGGUGACCCAGGACCCUUGCCGAAGCCGUGGGGACUGAGUACCACUCAGAGCUCUGCAAGGAUUGAUGCCGUUGGUUUCCUUCAAAAGCAAGUCUUUGACCCAUUACUGCAAGCCCCUCACUGUCAUUUGACAAGAAGAUUUGUCUGCGUGCACUGAAUGAGAAUCUGGUCCUACUGUGUGCACCUGGACCUGUUGGGUUUGCCUCUUGAUUUGCUUUUUUGGGUGGUCACUGGAUGAGGGCUUCUUUGUGUGGUGGCUGUAAAUAAAUGGACCUUGACCUCA